UGGUCUGUCAUCGCAUUGCGCCGUGUUCCAAUGUCUGGUGGUGCCGGUGUAGAAGCAGCUGUUCGCCGGAAGUGCGCAGUUUGAGCACGUGACUUUACGAUGACUAUCGUACCCUGCACACCAGGGUUCGGGGCUCGGCAGUGCAGGUAUAUCGAACAGGUCGCUCAUCAAAGCCAGCCGACAGACGUGGUGUGACGAGGCGAGGAGUGCUAGGAUCCCUGUGCAUGCGGCGAUGGAGUGUAAAUACCCGGAUAUUAUUCCACGAUUGUCUUCUUGCACUUGACUCAUACUUUGUGGAAAAGUGAUUCUUAUCUUUGCAAGUACAGGAUCAUUUGAACUCUUCCGAUGUUAUAAGGAGUGGUGUACAUCAAUGGGCGGAGUAAUGCUGCCUAUCAGCUCACAUCGAGAGUAGAGAGGGAAGCUAAAGUACAGGCUGACGCCGGGAGAGGGUCAACAGAGUUCGAGCGCGUGCACCUUGCACUGCAGGACACAAACAGCUUUAGUGACGUCACUCGCUGAGUUCACAGAGUCGCCCAUGAAUAUGAGAUUUUCCGGCUACACAGCUGAUCUUUCAAUUUGGAGGACAGCAGUGCAUCCUCGGUGCCAGAGGACUGAGCAUCAUGCAUGUGUGGAGACAUUUUCUUUUUCUGGAAACUGUGGCUUAUUGGGGAUCCGCCAUUCAAAGCCGUCACGUGGAGGAAAGCGGAAAAAGUGCAAGACCUGUCACGUGACUGCAGCCAGCGUGAGGUCUGUUGAUGCAGGCUUUUGAUCUUUUGUAGCAGCGUGGGUGGAGGUGACAAAGAGCCAGUGCACUUCAUUGGUCGAUCAGAAAAAAAAAAAACCCAGAGA
Molecule: long non-coding RNA, 849 nt
Organism: Pomacea canaliculata
Lineage: Eukaryota; Metazoa; Mollusca; Gastropoda; Architaenioglossa; Ampullariidae
Exons: 3
Source: RefSeq, a predicted model, not a curated record